RNAcentral lists this ribosomal RNA (521 nucleotides) under uncultured bacterium. RNAcentral's name for it is "bacterial SSU rRNA". It matches the Rfam family "Bacterial small subunit ribosomal RNA", at positions 26 to 518 of the family's 1533-position model. The record is from RNAcentral.
AGGACGAACGCUGGCGGCGUGCCUAAUACAUGCAAGUCGAACGGUCUUUUCUAUGGAAGCUUGCUUCCACUGAGAAGAUAGUGGCGAACGGGUGAGUAACACGUGGGUAACCUGCCCAUAAGAGGGGGGAUAACAUCCGGAAACGGGUGCUAAUACCGCAUAGUUUUCUUGAUCGCAUGAUCGGGAAAGGAAAGACGGCCUUUGUGCUGUCGCUUAUGGACGGACCCGCGGCGUAUUAGUUAGUUGGUGAGGUAACGGCUCACCAAGACGAUGAUACGUAGCCGACCUGAGAGGGUGAUCGGCCACAUUGGGACUGAGACACGGCCCAAACUCCUACGGGAGGCAGCAGUAGGGAAUCUUCCGCAAUGGACGAAAGUCUGACGGAGCAACGCCGCGUGAGUGAAGAAAGGUUUUCGGAUCGUAAAACUCUGUUGUCAGAGAAGAACAAGUUGGAGAGUAACUGCUCCAGCCUUGACGGUAUCUGACCAGAAAGCCACGGCUAACUACGUGCCAGCAGCCGC